UGAACACACCGCGGGAGCUCGCGCCACAAGCGGGCUGAGAGGGCGGCUGGAUCGACUUUUCGAUCCGGUGCCGCCGACCGCCUGAACCUGUACUGGGUAAUGCCAGCGUAGGGAGGAAUCGCCAUGACGUC
RNAcentral lists this non-coding RNA (131 nucleotides) under Kutzneria sp. 744. Its description in RNAcentral is "TPP riboswitch aptamer (THI element)". It matches the Rfam family "TPP riboswitch aptamer (THI element)". Rfam says of the family: Vitamin B(1) in its active form thiamin pyrophosphate (TPP) is an essential coenzyme that is synthesised by coupling of pyrimidine and thiazole moieties in bacteria. The previously detected thiamin-regulatory element, thi box was extended, resulting in a new, highly conserved RNA secondary structure, the THI element, which is widely distributed in eubacteria and also occurs in some archaea. Lineage: Bacteria; Bacillati; Actinomycetota; Actinomycetes; Pseudonocardiales; Pseudonocardiaceae. The record is from Rfam by way of RNAcentral. RNAcentral also lists the same sequence under 1 other name.